AGCAGUAGCCGCGGUAAUACGUAGGGUGCAAGCGUUAAUCGGAAUUACUGGGCGUAAAGCGUGCGCAGGCGGUUUGUUAAGACAGAUGUGAAAUCCCCGGGCUCAACCUGGGAACUGCAUUUGUGACUGGCAAGCUAGAGUAUGGCAGAGGGGGGUGGAAUUCCGCGUGUAGCAGUGAAAUGCGUAGAUAUGCGGAGGAACACCGAUGGCGAAGGCAGCCCCUGGGCCAAUACUGACGCUCAUGUACGAAAGCGUGGGGAGCAAACAGGAUUAGAUACCCCCGUAGUCCCUGUCUCUUAUACA
RNAcentral lists this ribosomal RNA (303 nucleotides) under uncultured bacterium. Its description in RNAcentral is "partial 16S ribosomal RNA". It matches the Rfam family "Bacterial small subunit ribosomal RNA", at positions 507 to 808 of the family's 1533-position model. The record is from RNAcentral.